GUAGGUAGUGCAGCGGUUCAGCACGUGCUCCCAAAAAGGGUGAGAUCUGGGUUUGAAUCCCAGAUGACGUAGACA
Molecule: non-coding RNA, 75 nt
Organism: Parelaphostrongylus tenuis
Lineage: Eukaryota; Metazoa; Nematoda; Chromadorea; Rhabditida; Metastrongylidae
Source: the annotation of a GenBank genome assembly